This 497-nucleotide ribosomal RNA is filed under the name uncultured bacterium. Its description in RNAcentral is "partial 16S ribosomal RNA". It matches the Rfam family "Bacterial small subunit ribosomal RNA", at positions 28 to 507 of the family's 1533-position model. The record is from RNAcentral.
GAUGAACGCUGGCGGCGUGCCUAAUACAUGCAGGUCGAGCGAACAGACGAGGAGCUUGCUCCUCUGAUGUUAGCGGCGGACGGGUGAGUAACUCGUGGAUAACCUACCUAUAAGACUGGGAUAACUUCGGGAAACCGGAGCUAAUACCGGAUAACAUGUUGAACCGCAUGGUUCAACAGUGAAAGACGGUCUUGCUGUCACUUAUAGAUGGAUCCGCGCCGCAUUAGCUAGUUGGUAAGGUAACGGCUUACCAAGGCAACGAUGCGUAGCCGACCUGAGAGGGUGAUCGGCCACACUGGAACUGAGACACGGUCCAGACUCCUACGGGAGGCAGCAGUAGGGAAUCUUCCGCAAUGGGCGAAAGCCUGACGGAGCAACGCCGCGUGAGUGAAGAAGGUCUUCGGAUCGUAAAACUCUGUUAUUAGGGAAGAACAAAUGUGUAAGUAACUAUGCACGUCUUGACGGUACCUAAUCAGAAAGCCACGGCUAACUACGUG